Molecule: ribosomal RNA, 494 nt
Filed under: uncultured bacterium
Lineage: Bacteria
Description: partial 16S ribosomal RNA
Rfam family: Bacterial small subunit ribosomal RNA
Source: RNAcentral
GACGAACGCUGGCGGCGUGCCUAAUACAUGCAAGUCGAACGCUGAAGGAGGAGCUUGCUUCUCUGGAUGAGUUGCGAACGGGUGAGUAACGCGUAGGUAACCUGCCUGGUAGCGGGGGAUAACUAUUGGAAACGAUAGCUAAUACCGCAUAAUAGUAGAUGUCGCAUGACAUUUGCUUAAAAGGUGCAAUUGCAUCACUACCAGAUGGACCUGCGUUGUAUUAGCUAGUUGGUGAGGUAACGGCUCACCAAGGCAACGAUACAUAGCCGACCUGAGAGGGUGAUCGGCCACACUGGGACUGAGACACGGCCCAGACUCCUACGGGAGGCAGCAGUAGGGAAUCUUCGGCAAUGGACGGAAGUCUGACCGAGCAACGCCGCGUGAGUGAAGAAGGUUUUCGGAUCGUAAAGCUCUGUUGUAAGAGAAGAACGAGUGUGAGAGUGGAAAGUUCACACUGUGACGGUAUCUUACCAGAAAGGGACGGCUAACUACGU